Symphalangus syndactylus (siamang) is the source of this 688-nucleotide long non-coding RNA. RefSeq lists it as uncharacterized. The record is from RefSeq and is a predicted model, not a curated record. NCBI's taxonomy places the organism in Eukaryota, Metazoa, Chordata, Mammalia, Primates, Hylobatidae.
UAAGACAGAAGCAUGUAAAAUAAUGGGAAAUAGAUCCCACAAAAAUUAGGAUCUGCCAUCCCUAGAAACGUCUAGAGAAACAGUGGACUAAAGAUUUUGGGAUAUCUCUUCCAAAGUUAAAAAAAGCAAUUGCUGUGUCUUACAUUUCCUACCACUAAAAAAACGGACAUACCUAGAGGGGGAUUUUGGAGACAUCAUAUGCCUCAUUUGGGUGUGCUUCUUACAUUCAUUUAUCAAAUAACUUCGAAAGGAUGCCAGCUUUCUGUGUAGAUCCUAGCACAAGAAACGUCUCUGCAACAGGUCCAGGCUGAUGUGUAAGCUGCUGUACCACUUGGGCCCUAGGACCUAGCAGAUCUUAUGGUGCUUGAAGUGUCCAUGGGCAAUGGGAUGAUGUUAAGAGCCCAUAGCAUGCACUUAUAGGUGUGGCCUCUUUGAGAGUUCCCUUUGAUCAUUGUUGAACAAGAAAAUAUUUGGGUCUGGUUUACCAAAGGACUUACAAGAUUUUCUGGCACCACCAUUCCCCGGAGGGGUCAGCCAGCUACGUGUCGGCAGGAUGAUGGCACUGGACUAUUUCCAUCGUGGAAAGGGCAGCAUUUUGUCUUCACUGGAACAGACACUUGGUUAGAAUAUGAAUAUGCUUUCACUGUACGUAUUUGUUCUGCUAAAACCACCAACUGUAUAUGCCUUA